GUCUAUGGCCUUACCACGCUGAACCGUAACCAAUCUCAUCUGGUCUCGGAAGCUAAGAAGGGUGGGGCCUGGUUAGUUCGUGGAUGGGAGAAAUCCAAGGCCAGCCUCAGCGA
RNAcentral lists this ribosomal RNA (113 nucleotides) under Jaculus jaculus (lesser Egyptian jerboa). The record is from RNAcentral. Lineage: Eukaryota; Metazoa; Chordata; Mammalia; Rodentia; Dipodidae.